AUUGAACGCUGGCGGCAGGCUUAACACAUGCAAGUCGAGCGGGGUGAUGGUGCUUGCACUAUCACUUAGCGGCGGACGGGUGAGUAAUGCUUAGGAAUCUGCCUGUUAGUGGGGGACAACAUCUCGAAAGGGAUGCUAAUACCGCAUACGUCCUACGGGAGAAAGCAGGGGAUCACUUGUGACCUUGCGCUAAUAGAUGAGCCUAAGUCGGAUUAGCUAGUUGGUGGGGUAAAGGCCUACCAAGGCGACGAUCUGUAGCGGGUCUGAGAGGAUGAUCCGCCACACUGGGACUGGGACACGGCCCAGACUCCUACGGGAGGCAGCAGUGGGGAAUAUUGGACAAUGGGGGGAACCCUGAUCCAGCCAUGCCGCGUGUGUGAAGAAGGCCUUAUGGUUGUAAAGCACUUUAAGCGAGGAGGAGGCUCUUUUGGUUAAUACCCAAGAUGAGUGGACGUUACUCGCAGAAUAAGCACCGGCUAACUCUGUGCCAGCCGCCGCAGUAA
RNAcentral lists this ribosomal RNA (503 nucleotides) under uncultured bacterium. RNAcentral's name for it is "partial 16S ribosomal RNA". It matches the Rfam family "Bacterial small subunit ribosomal RNA", at positions 30 to 523 of the family's 1533-position model. The record is from RNAcentral.